Molecule: signal recognition particle RNA, 302 nt
Filed under: Cebus imitator (Panamanian white-faced capuchin)
Lineage: Eukaryota; Metazoa; Chordata; Mammalia; Primates; Cebidae
Description: Metazoan signal recognition particle RNA (ENSCCAG00000009691.1)
Rfam family: Metazoan signal recognition particle RNA
About the family: The signal recognition particle (SRP) is a universally conserved ribonucleoprotein. It is involved in the co-translational targeting of proteins to membranes.
Source: RNAcentral
GCCAGGCAUGGUGGCGCGUGCCUGUAGUCACAGCUAUUUGGGAGGCUGAGGUGGGAGGAUUGCUUGAGCCCAGGAGUUCUGGGCUGUAGUGCGCUAUGCCGAUUGGGUGUCUGGACUAAGUUUGGCAUCAGUAUGGUGACCUCCCGGGAGCUGGGGAUCACCAGAUUGCCUAAAGAGGGGUCAACCGACCCAGGUCUGAAACGGAGAAGGUCAAAACUCCCAUGCUGAUCAGUAAUGGGAUUAUGCCUGUGAAUAGCCACUGCAGCAGUCCAGCCUGGGCAACAUAGUGAGAUCCCAUCUCU